Molecule: ribosomal RNA, 1251 nt
Filed under: Ignavibacteria bacterium
Lineage: Bacteria; Pseudomonadati; Ignavibacteriota; Ignavibacteria
Description: partial 23S ribosomal RNA
Rfam family: Bacterial large subunit ribosomal RNA
Source: RNAcentral
UGAUCUAUCCAUGGCCAGGAUGAAGGUGCCGUAACAGGUACUGGAGGUCCGAACCGACUAGUGUUGCAAAAUUAGCGGAUGAGCUGUGGAUAGGGGUGAAAGGCUAAACAAACUUGGAAAUAGCUGGUUCUCUCCGAAAACUAUUUAGGUAGUGCCUCAAGUAUUACCUUCGGGGGUAGAGCACUGUUUAGGCUAGGGGGUCAUGGCGACUUACCAACCCUAUGCAAACUCCGAAUACCGAAGAGUACAGCGCGGGAGACAGAGCACCGGGUGCUAACGUCCGGACUCAAGAGGGAAACAACCCAGACCGCCAGCUAAGGUCCCUAAAAUUGGCUAAGUGGGAAACGAAGUGGGAAGGCUAAAACAGUCAGGAUGUUGGCUUAGAAGCAGCCAUCAUUUAAAGAAAGCGUAAUAGCUCACUGAUCGAGUCGUCCUGCGCGGAAGAUGUAACGGGGCUAAGCCAGUUACCGAAGCUGCGGAUGUGCAAUUUAUUGCACGUGGUAGGAGAGCGUUGUGUAAGCCUGUGAAGGUGUCUGGUAACGGAUGCUGGAGGUAUCACAAGUGCGAAUGCUGACAUGAGUAGCGUUAAAGCGGGUGAAAAGCCCGCUCGCCGUAAGCGCAAGGUUUCCUACGCAACGUUCAUCGGCGUAGGGUGAGUCGGCCCCUAAGGCGAGGCAGAGAUGCGUAGCUGAUGGGAAACAGGUCAAUAUUCCUGUACCGAUCAAUAGUGCGAUGUGGGGACGGAGAAGGUUAGCUCAGCCAACUGUUGGAUAUGUUGGUUCAAGCCUGUAGUCGUGCCCGGUAGGCAAAUCCGCCGGGCUUAGAUGAGGGGUGAUAACGAGUGUGCUUGCACACGAAGUGAGUGAUACCCUGCUUCCAGGAAAAGCCACUAAGCUUCAGCUAUUGACGACCGUACCGCAAACCGACACUGGUGCGCGAGAUGAGUAUUCUAAGGCGCUUGAGAGAACUCAGGAGAAGGAACUCGGCAAAUUGAUACCGUAACUUCGGGAGAAGGUAUGCCGCAAGUAGGUGAACUUGUACAAGGGGAGCCCAAAGCGGUUGCAAAAAAUCGGUGGCUGCGACUGUUUAAUAAAAACACAGCACUCUGCAAACACGAAAGUGGACGUAUAGGGUGUGACGCCUGCCCGGUGCUGGAAGAUUAAAUGAUGGGGUGCAAGCUCUUGAUUGAAGUCCCAGUAAACGGCGGCCGUAACUAUAACGGUCCUAAGGUAGCGAAAUUCCUUGUCGGGU